Prunus mume (Japanese apricot) is the source of this 1183-nucleotide non-coding RNA. NCBI's taxonomy places the organism in Eukaryota, Viridiplantae, Streptophyta, Magnoliopsida, Rosales, Rosaceae. The record is from RefSeq and is a predicted model, not a curated record.
AGAAAUUCAUCUUGAAAAUCUGAGAAGUUUAUUUUCACCAAUGGGAAAAGAGAUGAAGAUAUCUCAUAGAUAAGGACCCAAUGUGCCAAGAACUAUAAGUAUACUCACUGACUACUCUCUUCAAACAAGCAAUCAGCACUUCCACAUUGUCUAAAAGACAAUACACUUUUUUUUUCUUUUUCUUUUCUGAAAUGGCAUCUUCAACAAUGGCUCUCUCCUCCUCUUCUCUAGUAGGCGAAGCCGUCAAGCUUAGUCCGUCUACUUCUAACCUUCUCGGUGAGGGCCGGGUCACCAUGCGCAAAACCGCAGCCAGGUCCAAAACUGUGUCAUCUGGCAGCCCGUGGUACGGCCCUGACCGUGUUAAGUACUUAGGCCCAUUCUCUGGUGAGGCCCCAUCUUACCUCACCGGAGAAUUCCCUGGUGAUUACGGUUGGGACACUGCUGGGCUCUCAGCAGACCCAGAGACCUUUGCCAAGAACCGUGACUUGAGGUUAUCCAUUCAAGAUGGGCCAUGCUUGGUGCAUUGGGCUGCGUUUUCCCUGAACUCUUGUCCCGUAACGGAGUCAAGUUCGGUGAGGCUGUUUGGUUCAAGGCUGGAGCCCAAAUAUUUAGCGAGGGUGGGCUAGACUACUUGGGGAACCCAAGCUUAGUCCAUGCCCAGAGCAUUUUGGUGAUUUGGGCAACACAAGUUAUCUUGAUGGGUGCCGUGGAAGGGUACAGAAUUGCCGGUGGGCCUCUUGGUGAAGUAACAGACCCAUUAUACCCAGGUGGGAGUUUUGACCCAUUAGGCCUUGCAGAGGAUCCAGAAGCUUUUGCUGAGCUGAAGGUGAAGGAGCUCAAGAAUGGAAGACUAGCUAUGUUCUCUAUGUUUGGGUUCUUUGUGCUGGCCAUUGUUACUGGAAAGGGACCAAUAGAAAACCUAGCUGACCACUUGGCUGACCCUGUUAACAACAAUGCCUGGGCAUAUGCCACAAACUUUGUUCCUGGAAAGUGAGGGGUGCAUUAACAACUUGAGGAAGAAGUGCUUUUACAAAUUGCUUGUGCGUUUGUUGUGAAAUGGGUAUUAUUUUUUUUCUAUGUGCUAUUGUGCUGAUGAAAUAUGGUGAUCAAUGCAAGAGAAUAUAGGAAUAAAUUUGAUAAAUGUCUGAGUCUUAAUAAAUGUUUGUAUAAGCAUGUUUUGAGU